RNAcentral lists this ribosomal RNA (423 nucleotides) under uncultured bacterium. RNAcentral describes it as "bacterial SSU rRNA". It matches the Rfam family "Bacterial small subunit ribosomal RNA", at positions 355 to 774 of the family's 1533-position model. The record is from RNAcentral.
UGAGGAAUAUUGGACAAUGGAUGGAAAUCUGAUCCAGCCAUGCCGCGUGCAGGAAGACGGCCCUAUGGGUUGUAAACUGCUUUUGUAUGGGAGCAAUAAGGACUACGUGUAGUUUGAUGAGAGUACCAUACGAAUAAGGAUCGGCUAACUCCGUGCCAGCAGCCGCGGUAAUACGGAGGAUCCGAGCGUUAUCCGGAUUUAUUGGGUUUAAAGGGUGCGUAGGCGGAAAGAUAAGUCAGCCUGUGAAAGUUUGCGGCUCAACCGUAAAAUUGCAGUUGAUACUGUUUUUCUUGAGUGUACAUAAGGUAGGCGGAAUUCGUGGUGUAGCGGUGAAAUGCUUAGAUAUCACGAAGAACUCCGAUUGCGAAGGCAGCUUACCGGGGUACAACUGACGCUGAUGCACGAAAGUGUGGGUAUCAAACA